CCCCAGUCGACCCCACCACACUACAACUGGUGACUACUCAUACCAUACAAGCCACACGACCAAGGGGACGAAUCUCCGGAGAAGGGAACAGCCGACCCGCAGAGGCGCAAUACUGACCACAAAACAUGCACACUACCAGUGUAAACCUCACCACACUACAGAAACCAAAGAGGUGCAGCAACAUCCCGCAUACACUGGCCACUACGGGGGAAUGAAUGAUACUCCUACCCCCGACCAAUAGUGAUCACACAUAGAUCAAACCUGGACAGGACACCAGGAAUCCACCACCCCCUCAGGAAAGGGACAUGGUGCACCCCUCACACAGAGGGAGCACUUCCAUCCAGGAGUAACCCCGGGCACCCAG
Pelobates cultripes (western spadefoot toad) is the source of this 364-nucleotide non-coding RNA. NCBI's taxonomy places the organism in Eukaryota, Metazoa, Chordata, Amphibia, Anura, Pelobatidae. The record is from the annotation of a GenBank genome assembly.